AGUGAACGCUGGCGGUAGGCCUAACACAUGCGAGUCGAACGGCAGCACAGUAAGAGCUUGCUCUUACGGGUGGCGAGUGGCGGACGGGUGAGGAAUACAUCGGAAUCUACUUUUUCGUGGGGGAUAACGUAGGGAAACUUACGCUAAUACCGCAUACGACCUACGGGUGAAAGCAGGGGAUCUUCGGACCUUGCGCGAUUGAAUGAGCCGAUGUCGGAUUAGCUAGUUGGCGGGGUAAAGGCCCACCAAGGCGACGAUCCGUAGCUGGUCUGAGAGGAUGAUCAGCCACACUGGAACUGAGACACGGUCCAGACUCCUACGGGAGGCAGCAGUGGGGAAUAUUGGACAAUGGGCGCAAGCCUGAUCCAGCCAUACCGCGUGGGUGAAGAAGGCCUUCGGGUUGUAAAGCCCUUUUGUUGGGAAAGAAGAGCAGCAGGUUAAUACCCCGCUGUUCUGACGGUACCCAAAGAAUAAGCACCGGCUAACUUCGUG
RNAcentral lists this ribosomal RNA (492 nucleotides) under uncultured bacterium. RNAcentral's name for it is "partial 16S ribosomal RNA". It matches the Rfam family "Bacterial small subunit ribosomal RNA", at positions 29 to 507 of the family's 1533-position model. The record is from RNAcentral.